RNAcentral lists this ribosomal RNA (253 nucleotides) under uncultured bacterium. Its description in RNAcentral is "partial 16S ribosomal RNA". It matches the Rfam family "Bacterial small subunit ribosomal RNA", at positions 524 to 776 of the family's 1533-position model. The record is from RNAcentral.
UACGGAGGGGGCUAGCGUUGCUCGGAAUUACUGGGCGUAAAGCGCACGUAGGCGGCUUUGUAAGUUAGAGGUGAAAGCCCGGGGCUCAACUCCGGAAUUGCCUUUAAGACUGCAUCGCUCGAAUUGUGGAGAGGUAAGUGGAAUUCCGAGUGUAGAGGUGAAAUUCGUAGAUAUUCGGAAGAACACCAGUGGCGAAGGCGACUUACUAGACACAUAUUGACGCUGAGGUGCGAAAGCGUGGGGAGCAAACAGG